This is a non-coding RNA of Paralichthys olivaceus (Japanese flounder), 406 nucleotides long. NCBI's taxonomy places the organism in Eukaryota, Metazoa, Chordata, Actinopteri, Pleuronectiformes, Paralichthyidae. The record is from RefSeq and is a predicted model, not a curated record.
UGGGUUAGGACAGAGGACGCAUCUGGGACUAUUAAGAGAAUUGAAAAAGGAUACAGAUAUUUGAUCAGCACACAGUGGACACUGAUCGGUUUGAGGAGACACACUUGCUGUUGAUCUUCAGUGAACUGUCAUCAGGAAAGCCUAAAUCAAACUCUGAACAUCUGUGUGUGAGGAGCAAAAGACCUGUCCUGAGUUAUCAUGGCUCAUGUGAAGAGGUUCCAAGGAAUCCCCAUGUCAAAGUCAUUGAGAGGUUUGUGUAAAGAGGAGGACUAUGUGUUUCUGGGAACGUCUCAAAAAACAACGGAAGAGACGGCAGAAGGAACCGGAGCUCUGAAGGAUGACAGGAGGGACCAAAAGGAAGAGAGGAUCCGCCGGCGACUGGAGAGAGAAGAGCAGGAUAAAGAGA